This is a long non-coding RNA of Cavia porcellus (domestic guinea pig), 8795 nucleotides long. RefSeq lists it as uncharacterized. The transcript has 2 exons. The record is from RefSeq and is a predicted model, not a curated record. Lineage: Eukaryota; Metazoa; Chordata; Mammalia; Rodentia; Caviidae.
ACAGCCUCUUCCAUUCUUUUCAGCAUUAUAAUUUUGGUUAAUUUUCAAUUUUAGGUCCUACGUCUCUGCAAUUUGUGUAUGAAUAACAGAAUAAUUUCCCUCUUUUGUUUCGCCUUUCCUGUUCCUGAAUCUAAAUAAAGAUGGCUUUUUAGUAUUAAAAGUGGAAGAAAAUUACAGGUAAUUAUCUUUGACGGUAAAAACGCUGUAAUCAGCGGGCUACAUGAAAAAUUACUCUAAUUAUGGCUGCAUUUAAGAGAAUGGAAAAAAACCUUCUUGUGGAUAAAAACCUUAAAUUGUCCCCAAUGUCUGCUUCAAAUUGGAUGGCACUGCAGCUGGAGGCUUUGUUCAGAAUUGAUCCUGGGGAGCUACGAACCCAAAGUUUCACAGUAGGAAGGGGGAAAAAAGAAAAGAAAACAUUUUUCCUAAUGUAACAAUGCGAAUGCUAGAAAAUGACAAGACUGAUCGGUUUUAAACCAUUCUGAAGACUGACUGAGCGUGGAAGUUGCUCAACAAAAAAAGGAACGGGUAUAUUGUUGCUGAGAUGGAAGGAAAACGCGCUCCUUCGGAAGAGCAUGGGCUUUUCCCAUAUUGCUUCCCUACUGCUGCUGAGCUGCUUGAACACUAGUCCCUGGAUGCCAUCAGUGAGAAGACUUUGCAGCUGGGCUUUUUCUGGAGAAGAAGCUGCAGUUUCUCUCUCUAUUGGCUCUUCAUUCAAGUAAUGGCUGUCAUCAGGAUCAGACAAAAAAGAAACCAGCUGGACACCAGCAUGGAGGACUAACCAACAGGGGCACUGAAAUGUCAACGGGGUUCUAACCUAUCCAUAGAAAUUCAAGGGGUGGAAAAAUGUAUUUCACAGCCCUUCUCGGGGAGUAUUCCAUGUGACACUGGAAGGAAUGGGUUGAUACAUUCCUAAGGUUUAGGAAGUAGGGAGUAAUCAGAACGUAGAGGAAUAGGAGGCUGUUUUACUUCAGCAUUCCUGUUCUUCUGACUGAAAUACAUAAAUUAGGCACUCCAGCUACCUCAUCUGUGACUAGAAGACAGGUUAGUACUCCAGUGGGCUUCCUGCUCAUUUCUUUUUCUCUAGUAAAGAGCAGACAAGGAGAAAACACCAAUUCAUUAGCCUCCAUGUCCUUCCUGUGCACUCUAGAGCUUGAUGGUGCACACAACACCAUAGCCUGUCUUGCCCUUCUAGGAUGUGAGCUCUGAGGGUGUCUUUGUUUACUAGAGGGUGUGGGUCAUUGCUAACAUUGCACUUCAAGUGAAAUGGAAUUUGAACUCUUUGUCUAUAGAUCAGGUGGUCAGAUCCUAUAUUGAAUUAAUUAGGUCGAUGGAAACACUGAGUAGAACUGGAAACUUCAAAACAUAGUUGGCCAAGAGGCAAUAUUGAAGUUAUUUGCAGAGAAAGCUAUCAUGAGACAAGCUUCAAAUAAUGAAAUGUGGAACUUGUGGUCACUUUUUAAUAACUCUACGAACAUGGGCUUCUCAUGCAAUCUCUGCAAAGUCCUGGGGUGCCAUGUGAAGUGCUUGGAGUUGGGAGGGCCUCUGGGAAGAAAAUGUGAAGUGAUUUGGGUCCAGAAAUAAGCAGAGAUGGGACCUAGAACCCAUAUUGCUUCUGUUCUGCAUAGGAAACUGCCCUGUGAAAAGUUCUGGGUUGGAACACUUGAUAACCUGGAUUUGAGUCAUUCUCCUGACACUAACAAGCUUUGUGACUGGGCAAGACACUUCACCUGCCACUUUGAUGUCUCUCAAGAUACUCUACAUCCCUUUUGGCCUUUAAAAUGUCAACAUCAGGCUCCAAACAGUAGCAGGCCAGUUUCACACUUGCUUAUUCUAAGCUGUGAAGUCAGAUGAAUCUUCUCUGACUUGAAUUUUAGUAUUUGUUUUUGUUUGUCUUGUAGGAUAUAAUGAGUCUGCUUUUCACCUUUGGAGUGAAGAAAGUGCUAGCUCUGAGACUCACAGAGGCUUUAUUUCCUCUCUCAUCAUUUCAUUUCCUUCUUUUCUCCCUGUCCUUUGCUUCCUCCUAUUUUUACCAAGCAAACACUAUCUGCCAUGAAUCAGGUAUGUGCUAAGUUUGAGGACACAAAGUAAGCCUAACACUUUCUAGCUUUUUCCUUGUAGGGAAUCAGCUAUGCCCCAGGGAGGUGUGCUGGUGGGACUCCCAGGGGACUUUCUAUAGUCAGGUGCCAGUUCUUCUCAGGCAAUUUCAUACUGCCCUAAGACACACAUCAAAUCAUCAUUCAGGCCCAGGGUCACCAUGAAAAGAGCUCAUUCCAAAUAUAAAGAAGAAAGAAUUUUUCACUUUUUUGGGAUAUGUCUAAAGAGGAAAAAUUCUCAGUACAGUGAGGGCUACUGAUUACCCACCCUUUGCAUCUCAUCCUUGCUCAAGCAGGAAGAUCCUAAGUUUAAAAACAAAACCAGAAAAGUAGUGUUUAACAGACAUCUUUUAUAUACACUGUUCUUCCCAUCUUCUCUGUGCCUGGUGACAUUUAUUUAUUUAUUUAUUUAUUUACAAAAUCUCACUAAGUAGUCCAGACUGUCCUUAAAGUUACUAUGUAGGCAAAACUGGCCUCAAACUCACAGCAAUCCUCCUGCCUCAGCCACCUGAGUACUAGGAUUAUAAGUAUGUGUCAUCAUGCUCAGCUGUGGUGACCUUUUUAUUUUUAUUUAUUUUUAAUUAAAAAAAAUUUUUUUUUUGGUGCUGGAGAACAAACUCAUGACCUCGAGUUUGCCAAGCAGACACAGCUGAAUCCCAAGCUGUGGUGACCUUUUUAAAAAAGGAAAGAAAAAUCACUUUUUAAAAAAGGAAAGGAAAAACAUUUUUCCUUUUCAGAUGAAAAGUUAUUGCCAUGGCCUCCAACUUCAUUAAGCAACUUCUUAUUUUUGCUUCUUCCAUUAUUGGCAAGUCUAACAAAUACAUAUACCUGACUGCAGAAAAUAUAUCUUAGAAUAUAAUUCAAUGUAAUUUCAAAUUUAGCAUGGCAGACAUAAUCUAGUUUGAGAAUUUGAUGCUGAGAAAUAAUUUCAGGUUUUUUUCAAUUUAUGGCUUAAAUUGUAGAAUUAGUUACUUUUGACUCUCAGUGUUACUUUACAGUAGAGUUCAAGGAAUAGAGACACCUCCAGGUAAUGUCUGUGACUCUCCGUGACUGAAAACUUUACUUUUCUCUGUUACCUUUAUUUAUGCAAAUUAACCUUACUCCUACAUGAACUGAUUAGUGUCUCACCUCCCUUUCUUCUCAUUUUCCCUCUAGUGAAUGUAUUAAAAAUGGUAGAAAGUGUGGAGAGUCUUUAAAGAGAAACAAAGGCACUAGGUAACUCACAUACAUGGAAAGUGAUUCUAAAAUAGUUGACAAAAUAUUUAAAUAUUUUAAUACAGUACCCCUACCAUUAAGCAGAAACAAUCAGUAAAUCUGUACAACUCUAAACAUUCUUAACCAAAAGGGCAACAUUUUAUGAAACAUCUUACAUUUCCAAAUAUCUGGAUAUUGGCCAUCGUGCAUGCAAAAUAUACACAUGGUAAACUUGUCUUUCCACUUAUUCUUUGUAUGACCUUGAUAUUUGUAGCUCUGGUCAUUGAUUCUAAAGCAAUUUAUAUUUUUUUUCUCCGUUCUACUUAAGAUAAAACAAAAAACCUUAUUUUUCUAAGCAAUUAAAACUUAUGCUUCAGCUAAGAUGAAAGAAUUAGGAGUUCUAUCUCCUUGUAUAUAAUUGUAUGUUUCAUUCAUCUUGUUUUAAUGAUUGACAGAAAACUGAUAAACUGAGACAUCUCUGAAUUAGGGUUGGGUGUACUGUCUUGGUGGCCCUACUGCUAAUCUGUUUCACUAUUUUGCAGAAUUUCUUACUCUGUAAUGGAAAGGUUUAUUAAAUAUGAGGGGUGCAAAGCUUUCUUAAUACUAAUGAACUUAUUAGCCAAAGUUUAAAUGUUCUUGUUGGUGAAUGCCUGUCUCACUUAACAGGAUCCAAAUUGAAUAAUGAAGAAAAUUAGACUCUGUCGUACCCUCAAGAGAAAUUGUGUGUGAUUUGUGAAUGCUGAGAGAGAAAGGGUCAUAUUUUAGAAAAAAAAGAGUAGAUAAUUUGGGUUACUUAAAAAAAGGAUAAACUCAGGGAAACUCAAUUCCUUUCCAAGAAACAUAGUCAUUCAAGCAGCAAGACUUCUUACUACUGCCCCAGUAAUCUAUAUAUUUGAGCAUCUUAGAAAGUCCUAGUUAUAUGGAAAUAGGUACUAGGUUUCUGUGGUUAAAGUUUACUAACCUUAUUCCUAUAUAUAUGUCUGUGAUGGACAGGGAAAAAUCAGUAACCUUGAAAAGUGAGCGCUGUUCUCCGGAGAAAUUCAAUAGGGAGAUGGUUAGAGUUUGGGAAAUUGCUACAGUUCUUCCCUUCAGCAUAGUACACUGUGACUUUUCCCAGGUCAAUGUGCAUCUUUCUUUCUGGUGCCUGAGUGUUGCACUAAUAGUAGAUUAUCACGAUGCCUUUCUCUUGCCAGCACCUGGGAGCCCUGCAGGGACAAGACAUCUCUCCUCUGGGCUGAACAGGCUGGGAGAACACAGCAGCCGGACCAACUGCCAGACCUGCUCAGAGUCAGAAACAGUGUCUGUGGAGGAGCAAAAUAAGGUGGCAGAAGGAUAUGAGGGAGAAAGGAAUGGGAAUUUUUUCCUGUGGUAAACUGGAAGCAGGAAAACGUGCACUGUGAAAGGAUGAGGGGAGGCAGGAUUCUAAAGCGAAGAAAACAGUGGAAAGAAUGAUUACCUCCAAUGUUUGUUAAAACUAAUUCUGACAUUGCGGGGGAGAAAAGAUGUUAAGGAAAAAGGGACUCAAAGUCUGUGAAGUUUGCAAAACAAAACAAAACAGAAACUUAAAAGCUAAGGUUAUACUCUUCUGUGAAGAGUCUGAGCAAGAACAGUAAGUUUGUGACACCACGGUUUAUACUUUAAGGUUAACUUUCAGUUCCUAUGUGAAAGUGUUUAUACAUAUAGAAUCAUAAGACAUACGUGUCGCUUGGGCCAAGCUUCAUACCUAAAGGAGACAAAGAAGGGUCACCACAUCUCAGGUUAACAACAAUCAGUUGUUGAUAUUUCAUCUGAUUAAAUAAAAAAGAUACCUAGUGUAUUUGAUUGCUUCCAUGGGAAGACUUGAGAAUUGUAAGCCUAAAUUUGAUAAUUGAUUUUGAAAAUUAAGAAAAUAAAUGGAAGCAGAUUUAGCUAUAUGUCAACCAUUUAAAAUCGUAACUCAAACCUUUGGAAACAAGGCUUCAGUAGCUUGCUGAGGGUCAUCUCAUGUGAUUUUUUUCAUGUCCCGUGUGAUGAUAUCUUUGACCUCUGCAAUACAAAAGAUGUAAGAACUCAUGAGGUGGGAAGGCAAGGGAAUAAGAUGGCAGAAGAGGGGGAAACGCUACAAAUUGAGAAGACUGCACAAUUUUUGAGAAAAUGAAAUGAAUUACAGGGCUUGGAGGGUAACAGUAUAAUAAGGAGUGUGAGAUAAUAAGAUAUUUAAAAAGAGGAAAUUACUUUGAGAAAGUGAGGAUGAAUGAUGAAUUACAUGGGAGAUGAUUAAAGAAUUUGGGAAGGCAGAAAGGGGAGGAAGUAUUUGGGGUGGGAAACAAAAUGUGACUAGUGGCUGUAAAAGGGCAAACUUGAACUCUGGCUGGCAUAUCCCCCAACCUUAGGAGAGUGCACACAACUUAGGAAUCAAGGAAAAAAAUGAAAAGAAUUCAUGGUUAACAUGAAAUCAUAAGGACAACAGAAGCAGCAGUAAGUGUCAUUAGUCUUCAGAAAUGAAAGCAUUUCUAGAGAAAUAGUCUAUGUUCUCCAUUCACUUAUGAGUAGGAAAGUCUUCAUCUACCUUUACAAAAGGUUGAUUUAUAAAAUGAAUGCUAUUAAAGGAAGAAAAGCUAAGCAUUAUCGAGGAGGUUGAAGAAAAGACUGCGUCUAGAACAACUGAGAUGGGGGUAUCUGAGCAAAAUUGUUCAGAGCUUUUUAUAUAAAAUUUUGAAGUUUAGCAUUUUAGGAAAGCACUGGAGAUAAUUUAUCCAAACAGAAUGUGGAUAGUGAUGAUUGAAGAGGUUUUUGCCACUGUAAAUAUUUUAGAAUAUAUUAUUCCACAACAUUUUUCUCCCACAAAAAUAUGAGUGAGAUUAAGUAGAAAGCUUCUGGAUUUCACAUUAAGCACUUGGAGGAGAGGAUUUAUAGAAAUGUAAACUUACUCCUAGUAACAGAAAUAACAUUAAAUUUUCAAAAAAUGUUAACAUUUGGAGCAGAUCUAAAUGCAUGUAAAUAUUCUUUUUCCCCUGCUUGUGUUGGUAGGGGAUUCUUUCCACCAGGCAGUUCCAGACCCCCUUUGGCGGGAAGCUGAUAAAGUAAUUUAGCUGGAAAGGCUUAAUGAGAUAAUGAUGCUAAGGCUAGUUAACACCUAAUAAGAACAUAACCACGAGGGAUGAUAUUGUUGCUUAUUAAUUAUAAUGAUGAUGUGGAGGAAAGAGACAAGGUGGUACUCAUUUAGCAGUGUACUCAGGAGUAUGGCUUUUUCCCAAAGGAGAAGUUGCAGUCAGUUAAGUUAGAAGUAAGCUAACACUUAGCAGAGCCAGGAAUUUAUGGCCACUGAGUUAUUCUAGAGACCAGAGAACUGGAGGCAAUGGUGGAGUUGACAUAAAACCUUCCUGAUGGCAGCCAAGGUUGGAGUAGCGAUUGUGGUGCUGGACUCUGUGCAUUCCAGGUCAGGUUUUGGGGGCAGUCUGCUUGAUGAAGAUUCCACAGUGGUCACGUAGGUGCAGAUAGGCAGGUCCCCAGAAUGGGCUGGGUAGACUUCCAGUUCUUUGACUUUCCCUGAGAUGGGUGAGUCAGACUCACAACUCUUCCUUCAGCAUCAGCUCCCCACCCUGGUGAGAAAGCCCCCAAAAAUCCUCUGGCUCUGCUUGCAGAGGCAUAGCUCUAGCCAUUAUGUGAUGUGUAGGGUGAAGGGGUUUUGGUGUUAGUCACAGGUCCCACUUCACUACCGUUCACCUAGGAGGGUGCAUUGUUGUAGCUGCUCAUUACAGAUACACUCAUAUCCCUUCGUCAGGUGGGCUAGUGUAGAGUGAGUGGGAAAGACAUGAAGGUUUUGCAAAUCUUAUGAUUCCUCAAGGAAGCCUGGAAUCUUGAAACACCGAAACCAGCCUGGGGCCCAAUAAGGGGCACCUUAUUCCCUGGUUUUUGCAGCCUAGCUGCUGAUUCCUUCUUUCUAGGUUUUUUUUUUUUCCUAUGUUACUUGUGCAAUGAUAGGUUUUCUUUUCCUUUGCUAUUUGGUGGGAGGAUAUUUUGGGAUAGGUUUUAGCUAUGUCACACAGGCUGGCCAGGACCUCCAGUCCCCCUGCCUCAGUCUCCUACACUGAAAGUGCAGGCAUGUGCCACCAUGCCAGCUUUUACCACACCUUCCAGCGCUACUAAUUUCAUUAACUGGCUGAGAGUCAUCUCAUGUGAUAUUUUUCGUGUCCUGUGUGAUGGUAUCUUUGACCUCUGUAAUACAAAAGAUAUAAUAUUCACAUCAUGAACUUUUUAAAGCAUGUAUGUUUUAUUUUUACUAAAUAUAUGGGUUAAAAGAGGCAAAAACUAGAAAGGGCCAGACUUGAGGACAAAAGAUAAAGCUGCAGUUUGGACCUUUAGACCUGUUAUUUUUGGGCAAUUCUUUUGCUCUUCUGAGCCUCUUUUUCUCCAUUUAUAAAAUGAGGGGUGAUUGAGGACAGUUCUGUAUGGUUUUAAAGCUAUAUUCAGCUUUAAAAUUAUAUAUCUCCAUAUGUUUUUAAGGUAUCUAUGUCUAUCUUUUAUAUAAAAAGUUGAUAAUCUUGUGGUAACAAAUAUUGGUUAAAUUCAUGAUUUGGAAUGGACGUUAAAGUCAGUGUUACCAAAGAAUCAAUGGCAGAACUAUUUUUUAAUAACUACAUGGCAGCCAUACACCAGCCUUAAAGGUAAAUGUUUUACAGAGGAGGAAAUGAGGCUUUCUAAAGAUUAAAAAAAUUGCUCAAGUCUGCCAUGGAAGUGUGCAUCUGUAAUCCUGGCUACUGCGGAGGCUGAGAUAGGAUGAUAAGAAGUUCAAGGCCAGCCUGGGAAAAUUAUUGAGAUUCUUCCUCAAAAUAUAAUUGUAAAAAGGGUUGCAGCUCUAGCUUAAUGGUAGAAUAUUUGCCUAUCAUACACAAGGCUCUGGGUUCCAUCCCUAGUACUACAAAAAUAAAAUUAAUCAUUCAAGACCAUAUAGUUGAUAAAAAGUGAACUCAGCAUUCAAACCAUAGUCUCCCUGAAACUGAGGUUUUUGACUUUAAUCACUACUGUGCAUAUCUCUCAUGUUUAGAACUCAGUGCAUAUUUCCUAUAACUUAUGGCAUGAGUCAUAUUGAUUUUCUAGGGUAGGAGGAAGGAGCAAGGGAAAAAGUAAUUUGAAGAAUCUCCAACUUGAUUCUGGCACACACAUCUCUCUGCUUCUAUAUUUUUCUACCCACCCAUGCUCUUUGACCCAUCUCUUGGCCACAGUCAUGCCUUGAGGUGGUGGUGGUGGCACUGGGGACUGAACCCAGGACCUUUAUACUGAGCUACAUAACCUCAGCCCUUUUAAAUUUUGAGAUAGGAUAUUGCUAAAUCACUUAAGUUUUCCAAGCUUGGCUUAAUGUUGUUAGAAUACGGGGAUUAUAGGACUAGACGACCAUCACAUUCAGCUUAGACUCAUAUUUGACUCUUCUGAUUAUUUGACUCAUGAUUACAAAGGAAGCACCUUGCUUGUGAUUGAGCUUGGUGACACAUACUUUUAAUACUAGCACUCUGAGAUGCCAAGGCAAAA